UUUUUUUUUUUUUUUUCUUCUUCCCCAAGCCCCUCUAUGUUUCCUAAUUUCGUUGUUGUGAAUGAUCAACUCUUUGUGGAAGAGCUGCCUUUCAGAGAAGACUGGACAACUGGAGUUAUGCACACCUAGCAGGAAGACAGUCGAGCAUACUGCAGAUGUCUGCAAGUAACAUGCGGAGUUUUUGGUGGCUGCCCUUGGAUUUCAUACAAGUCCAGGGAUCUUAAUGAAAAUGCAGCUGGCUGCUCCUCUUGUGUAUGGACAGCACCUAAUCAUUCUGAAUUUUAAAGAUACAUCUUUUGGCAGUGCAACUGAUGUAAGUAAAUUAUGAUGUCUCUGAUGCUGGUGGAUUGAUCCAUGUUUUUACAUUGUUCAGAUAUCUGCUUAUAAAUGUACCUUAUAUCAAGCA
Long non-coding RNA from Calidris pygmaea (Spoon-billed sandpiper), 406 nucleotides. NCBI's taxonomy places the organism in Eukaryota, Metazoa, Chordata, Aves, Charadriiformes, Scolopacidae. The record is from Ensembl.